GGCGAACGGGUGAGUAACGCGUAAACAACUCGCCUCAGAGAUUGGGACAACAUUGGGAAACCAGUGCUAAUACCAAAUAAUGCAGCGGGCUCUUCGGAGCACAGCUGUUAAAGUAGGCUUCGGCUUACACUUUGAGAUGGGUUUGCGUCCGAUUAGUUAGUUGGUAGGGUAAAAGCCUACCAAGACCAAGAUCGGUAGCUGGUCUGAGAGGAUGAUCAGCCACACUGGAAUUGAGAUACGGUCCAGACUCCUACGGGAGGCAGCAGUAAGGAAUUUUGCACAAUGGGCGAAAGCCUGAUGCAGCAACGCCGCGUGAACGAUGAAGUUUUUAGGAAUGUAAAGUUCUGUCGUAUGGGAAGAGAUCUUUCGAAUGUUAAUACCAUUCGUUAAUGACGGUACCAUAUAAGAAAGCACCGGCUAACUUCGUGCCAGCAGCCGCGGUAAUACGAGGGGUGCUAGCGUUGUCCGGAUUUACUGGGCGUAAAGGGUACGUAGGCGUUUUAAUAAGUUGUAUGUUAAAUAUCUUAGCUUAACCAAGAAAAUGCAUCCAAAACUGUUAAAAUAGAGUUUGAGAGAGGAACGCACAAUUCAUGGUGGAGCGGUGACAUGCGUAGAUAUCAUGAGGAAAGUCAAAU
This 635-nucleotide ribosomal RNA is filed under the name uncultured marine bacterium. RNAcentral's name for it is "bacterial SSU rRNA". It matches the Rfam family "Bacterial small subunit ribosomal RNA", at positions 97 to 714 of the family's 1533-position model. The record is from RNAcentral.